AGGGAACUUUGUCCUCCACCAACUGUCCUUUCUGUCCCAAUCUGUUGUAACCAUACAAAGGGGCCACAUUUCUGUACCUGCUUUUCCCUCAGAGCUUAAUGUGGCACUCUCUGGAAAGCUGCCCCUUCCUGGAGCAUGGACCCCCUGCAUCAGGGCCAUGCCCUUUCCCACUGCAGGGAUGGUGAGAGGCUUCACUUCCAACUCUGAGAGAUACAAUUCCCCAAGAGUUUCUCAGUAAGUGGAGCCAAGAUUGAGACAGCAGUCUCCCAUGCCUACUACCCUGAAGAUAAGGCCAGUUUCAUGGGCAUGAAACCUACACAGUCACAUAGCCCUGUGCUCAGAAGGACCCUAUGUGUGGCCCUCCUGUUGCCAUCUUGAAAUUCUUAAUUUUUUAAUUAGGGCCCCAAAUUUUCAUUUUUCACUGGACCCUACCAGUUACAGAACUAGGCUUGCCCAGAAGUUAUUCCCUGAGGUUUGUGGCAAAACAGUGCCUAAAACCCUCUGCCAGAUUGAUCACAGCCCCACACAGAGCAAUCCUGGCCAUGCCCUAUCUACUCUAUUGUGUGGACAAUAGGAAAGAAGAAGGAUAAGUAGAAUAAAUGUCACAAAGAAGGAUAAGAAGCAGGGUGCUUUGAUCAUGUGAAACCACAAAGACAUGGUCAAGUAGAGGUACAACCACUAAAAGCAGAACCGGAUGCUGCUCAGGAUCCAAACCCUCUAGACCAAGCACUGGUCUAUUCUCAUGCUAACUCACUCGCUUAUUGUCCAAAACCCCACCAGGACACUGCGAUGGAUCACUCAAAGGAGGAGAAGGAGCUCUGUGAGGUCAUCUAACUCCAGGCUUUGUGUGUUCAGAGUCUGCAACUCCCAAUGUCACCGGCACGUGCCAAGGCCAAAUACACCAGCAAAAACUGCAGAGCUGGAAAUGGGAAUCAGAGACACAAGAAUGUAUUGCCUGCGAGGAUCCCUUCCGAUGUAUUCAUUUCUGUGGCUUCUUCACGCCGGGCCGUUACAAAAAAACAAGAAAGCCAAAACGCAGCAGCUCCUAGUUAUUUGCCGCUCUUCGAAUCAACACGUUUCUUAGGUUGUUUUAAGCACUGUCUGUUCCAAUAGGCAGAGGUUGUGCUCCUGCUGCUGAGCUCAAAACUCAGCAUCUGAUUAAAGCGUCUGGACGCCGUGUCCAGCGGGGCAAGACCACUGAUUCCUGAAGACGUCACGUGCUGCUGCUUUACCUGGACGGCGGAAGCCUGGCAGCCUCCAGAAGCUGCUUCGGAACAACGGGAAGAACGUGUUGCUUAACUGGGACAGAAAGCCACCAUUUUCGUUAAAAACGAAAACAGGGGCGCCUGGGUGGCGCAGUCGGUUAAGCGUCCAACUUCAGCCAGGUCACGAUCUCGCGGUCCGUGAGUUCCAGCCCCGCGUCAGGCUCUGGGCUGAUGGCUCAGAGCCUGGAGCCUGUUUCCGAUUCUGUGUCUCCCUCUCUCUCUGCCCCUCCCCCAUUCAUGCUCUGUCUCUCUCUGUCCCAAAAAUAAAUAAACGUUGAAAAAAAAAUUAAAAAAAAAA
RNAcentral lists this long non-coding RNA (1563 nucleotides) under Felis catus (domestic cat). RNAcentral's name for it is "lncRNA (ENSFCAG00000050146.1)". Lineage: Eukaryota; Metazoa; Chordata; Mammalia; Carnivora; Felidae. The record is from RNAcentral.